GUGAGGCCUUCGGACUGGCUCAGGGAGGUCGGCAACGACCACCCAGAGCCGGAAAGUUGGUCAAACUCGGUCAUUUAGAGGAAGUAAAAGUCGUAACAAGGUCUCCGUAGGUGAACCUGCGGAGGGAUCAUUA
RNAcentral lists this ribosomal RNA (133 nucleotides) under Paradevriesia pseudoamericana. RNAcentral's name for it is "Devriesia pseudoamericana partial 18S ribosomal RNA". It matches the Rfam family "Eukaryotic small subunit ribosomal RNA", at positions 1701 to 1831 of the family's 1831-position model. The record is from RNAcentral. Lineage: Eukaryota; Fungi; Ascomycota; Dothideomycetes; Capnodiales; Paradevriesiaceae.